UGUGAGGAUACUGGAAAAGGACAGCUA
This 27-nucleotide non-coding RNA is filed under the name Mus musculus (house mouse). Lineage: Eukaryota; Metazoa; Chordata; Mammalia; Rodentia; Muridae. The record is from RNAcentral.